Molecule: unclassified non-coding RNA, 338 nt
Filed under: uncultured Borrelia sp.
Lineage: Bacteria; Pseudomonadati; Spirochaetota; Spirochaetia; Spirochaetales; Borreliaceae
Description: partial contains 5S-23S ribosomal RNA intergenic spacer and 23S ribosomal RNA
Rfam family: Bacterial large subunit ribosomal RNA (bases 158-338)
Source: RNAcentral
GAUUUUAUUUUUUAUGUUUUUAGAUGUUCAUGUUUUUGAAUGUUUUAUUCGAAUAAUAUAAAAAAUAAAAUAUAUAUUGACAUGGAUUAAACAAAGAUAUAUAUUAUUCUAUGUUGUAUAAACAAAUUGGCAAAAUAGAGAUGGAAGAUAAAAAUAUGGUCAAAGUAAUAAGAGUCUAUGGUGAAUGCCUAGGAGCUUUAAGGCGAAGAAGGUCGUGGUAAGCUGCGAAAAGCUUGGGGGAGAAGCAAACAUUUAUUGAUCCCAAGAUUACCGAAUGGAGUAAUCCAGCUAGCAAGAUGCUAGCUAUCUAUUAUUUAAUUAAUARAGGCRAUACCAGG